Molecule: small nuclear RNA, 332 nt
Filed under: Felis catus (domestic cat)
Lineage: Eukaryota; Metazoa; Chordata; Mammalia; Carnivora; Felidae
Description: 7SK RNA
Rfam family: 7SK RNA
About the family: 7SK was discovered as an abundant small nuclear RNA in the mid-70s but a possible function has only recently been suggested. Two independent studies have found that 7SK RNA binds the CDK9/cyclin T complex (known as elongation factor P-TEFb). P-TEFb activates transcription by phosphorylating the C-terminal domain of RNA polymerase II.
Source: Rfam by way of RNAcentral
AGAUGUGAGGGUGAUCUGGCUGCGACAUCUAUCACCCCACUGAUCGCCAGGGUUGAUUCGGUUGAUCUGGCUGGCGAGGCGGGUGUCCCCUUCCUUCCUCACCACUCCCAUGUGCGUCCCUCCGAAAGCUGAGUGCUCCAUCGAGGCGGAGGACCUUCCCCGAUAGAGGAGGACCGUUCUUUGGUCAAGGGUAUACGAGUAGCUGCACUCCCCUGCUAGAACCUCCAAACAAGCUCUCAAGGUUCACCUGGAGGAGAACGUAGGGUAGCCAAGCUUCCAAGACUCCAGACACAUCCAAAUGAGGCGUUGCACGUGGCAAUUUGCCUUUGUUU